Molecule: ribosomal RNA, 464 nt
Filed under: Salmonella enterica subsp. enterica serovar Typhimurium
Lineage: Bacteria; Pseudomonadati; Pseudomonadota; Gammaproteobacteria; Enterobacterales; Enterobacteriaceae
Description: bacterial SSU rRNA
Rfam family: Bacterial small subunit ribosomal RNA
Source: RNAcentral
CAGGUGCUGCAUGGCUGUCGUCAGCUCGUGUUGUGAAAUGUUGGGUUAAGUCCCGCAACGAGCGCAACCCUUAUCCUUUGUUGCCAGCGAUUAGGUCGGGAACUCAAAGGAGACUGCCAGUGAUAAACUGGAGGAAGGUGGGGAUGACGUCAAGUCAUCAUGGCCCUUACGACCAGGGCUACACACGUGCUACAAUGGCGCAUACAAAGAGAAGCGACCUCGCGAGAGCAAGCGGACCUCAUAAAGUGCGUCGUAGUCCGGAUUGGAGUCUGCAACUCGACUCCAUGAAGUCGGAAUCGCUAGUAAUCGUGGAUCAGAAUGCCACGGUGAAUACGUUCCCGGGCCUUGUACACACCGCCCGUCACACCAUGGGAGUGGGUUGCAAAAGAAGUAGGUAGCUUAACCUUCGGGAGGGCGCUUACCACUUUGUGAUUCAUGACUGGGGUGAAGUCGUAACAAGGUAA